AAAGCUGGCACAUAGCAAGAGAUGUGCAUUUCAAGUACUGAGAGCAACAUAUACAGAAGCAAGUCACAGAAACAAGAAAGAACAUGAAGCUUUUAGAGAACAGCCAGGGGAUCAAAAAGGUCAAGACAUUGAAUUCCAUGGCUGACUGUCAGAAAAUAAAGCUGUACCAUGAAGAGGUCAAGAUGUGGUCAUAAAGGAUAAAGAGCUACAUUUGCCUUAGUUUGGGAUUAAUUCUACAGGCAACAGGGAACAAGGAAAGGAUUUGUUUUUUGGAACUUGCUAGAAGUAUGGAGGAUCGAUUUGUAGAAAACUAUACUGGAUACAGAAAGGAUCAGAUGGUAUUCUAUUACAAUAGCCCAAGACUGUGUAAUUCCAAAAUGAUCAGAGAAAAACUUGCCAUCUGGAUGUCAUAAGUAAAUAACUUGUUUCUGAGGCCUGCCUGGAGCUGUCUGAACCAGUGCAAUCAUGGAGGUGUUGGCUAACGCACCUGAGAUGAAGACACCUUCGGGCUUAUUCUUGUACAACUGUUCUUCACUAUGACAUUUCUUUAGCAUAUGUCUGAAGAUCAUUAAAAGGUAGUGCUGCAAUCCUCUCCAAAGGCAGAAGACUGGAGAGAGAUAGAGAGAGAAUCAGAGAAUCUCCUGCUGGCCUUAAAGAAGCAAUCAUGUGUAAACUGCCUAUGGAGAGAGGAGCCCAUGUCAGGAAACUGUGGGUGGCCUCUAGUAGCUGAGGGCCUGAGUCCUGCAAUACCAAGGAACUGAGUUCUGCCAAUAAUCACAUGAUCUUGGAAGAGGUCCUAAGCUCCAGAAAAAAAUGCAGCCCAGCCAACACCUUGAUUGCAGCCUACUGACACCCUGAGCCUCUGAUCCAGCAAUUUUCCAGGAGGAGGAAAUGGCUGUAUACUAAAGGGUCAGAGAUUAUAACAGCAGCAAUUAAGAUGAGAUUCUGCCUAUAGCAUUAGCUCAUUGUCUACUGCUCAAACAUAAG
Molecule: long non-coding RNA, 987 nt
Organism: Homo sapiens (human)
Lineage: Eukaryota; Metazoa; Chordata; Mammalia; Primates; Hominidae
Gene: INPP4B-AS2
Product: INPP4B antisense RNA 2
Exons: 4
Source: RefSeq, a predicted model, not a curated record